CACGUAGUUAGCCGUGGCUUUCUGGUUAGAUACCGUCAAGGCGCUAACAGUUACUCUAGCACUUGUUCUUCUCUAACAACAGAGUUUUACGAUCCGAAAACCUUCUUCACUCACGCGGCGUUGCUCGGUCAGGGUUGCCCCCAUUGCCGAAGAUUCCCUACUGCUGCCUCCCGUAGGAGUCUGGGCCGUGUCUCAGUCCCAGUGUGGCCGAUCACCCUCUCAGGUCGGCUAUGUAUCGUCGCCUAGGUGAGCCAUUACCUCACCUACUAGCUAAUACAACGCAGGUCCAUCUUGUAGUGGAGCAAUUGCCCCUUUCAAAUAAAUGACAUGUGUCAUCCAUUGUUAUGCGGUAUUAGCUAUCGUUUCCAAUAGUUAUCCCCCGCUACAAGGCAGGUUACCUACGCGUUACUCACCCGUUCGCAACUCAUCCAAGAAGAGCAAGCUCCUCUCUUCAGCGUUCUACUUGCAUGUAUUAGGCACGCCGCCAGCGUUCGU
Molecule: ribosomal RNA, 495 nt
Filed under: uncultured Streptococcus sp.
Lineage: Bacteria; Bacillati; Bacillota; Bacilli; Lactobacillales; Streptococcaceae
Description: partial 16S ribosomal RNA
Source: RNAcentral